CAGCUCUUGAGGUCUUUUGAAGACGCAGACAUCUAUUUGCGCUUUAGUGUGGUCGGUGUGGUCGUGUUCUGCAUUCUCUGCUGCCUGAUUUGCUGUGCCUGGAGUCGCUAUGGCUCUGUGAUAUCUUCCCUCUUUGACCCUCAGAAUAAGGCUGGUACUGAUGACCUGAGAACGUCUGUGAGUCAGUUGGGGCCUGUGGGGAGAGAGUGGACUUUAGGCAGAUCCUCCAGCGAAUACAUCUCAUGGCAACAACAAAGUUUUCCCCUCUCCCCUGAAACAAAGAAGCUAGACAAGGCUACCAAAAAACAACAGUAGCUGGAGUCCUGACCGGAUCCUACCCUCAUCAGCACGAAUGUAACCUGCUGGCAGCUCAGGGUGCGCCAACUUCACUGUAUUAUGCUUAUCACUGUAUUAUGCUUAGAACACUUUAUAGUUGUCAUUCUUACUUUGUACUCCAUUUAAUGUGGAUCCAGUAAUAAACCAAUUAUAAUUAUUUUACCCUC
This is a long non-coding RNA of Halichondria panicea, 503 nucleotides long. RefSeq lists it as uncharacterized. Lineage: Eukaryota; Metazoa; Porifera; Demospongiae; Suberitida; Halichondriidae. The record is from RefSeq and is a predicted model, not a curated record. The transcript is spliced from 3 exons.